RNAcentral lists this ribosomal RNA (253 nucleotides) under uncultured bacterium. RNAcentral's name for it is "partial 16S ribosomal RNA". It matches the Rfam family "Bacterial small subunit ribosomal RNA", at positions 524 to 776 of the family's 1533-position model. The record is from RNAcentral.
UACGUAGGGGGCAAGCGUUAUCCGGAUUUACUGGGUGUAAAGGGAGCGUAGGUGGUGUGGCAAGUCAGAUGUGAAAGCCCGGGGCUCAACCUCGGGACUGCAUUUGAAACUGUCAUACUAGAGUGCAGGAGAGGUAAGUGGAAUUCCUAGUGUAGCGGUGAAAUGCGUAGAUAUUAGGAGGAACACCAGUGGCGAAGGCGGCUUACUGGACUGUAACUGACACUGAGGCUCGAAAGCGUGGGGAGCAAACAGG